GGGGCUGUAGCUCAGGGGGAGAGCGCUUGACUCACAUUCAAGAGGUCCCGAGUUCGAUCCUCGGCAGCCCCACCA
This 75-nucleotide transfer RNA is filed under the name Bacillota bacterium. RNAcentral describes it as "Firmicutes bacterium (anaerobic digester metagenome) tRNA-Val". It matches the Rfam family "tRNA". From Rfam's summary of the family: Transfer RNA (tRNA) molecules are approximately 80 nucleotides in length. The record is from RNAcentral. RNAcentral also lists the same sequence under 2 other names. Lineage: Bacteria; Bacillati; Bacillota.